This 418-nucleotide ribosomal RNA is filed under the name uncultured organism. Its description in RNAcentral is "bacterial SSU rRNA". It matches the Rfam family "Bacterial small subunit ribosomal RNA", at positions 346 to 783 of the family's 1533-position model. The record is from RNAcentral.
GUGCAGCAGUCGAGAAAUUCGACAAUGGGCGAAAGCCUGAUCGAGCGACACCGCGUGCAGGAUGAAGGCCUUCGGGUUGUAAACUGCGGUAGUAUGGUAACAAUGUAAAUGAGUGCCAUACGGAAAGAGGUGGUAACUACGUGCCAGCACCAGCGGUAAUACGUAGACCUCAAGCGUUAUCCGGAUUUAUUGGGCGUAAAGAGCAUGUAGGAGGUUUUGCACGUCUUCUGUUAAAGCCCAGAGCCUAACUCUGGAGAUGCAGGAGAUACGGCAAGACUAGAGGGGUUAGAGGUGCAUGGAACUCACGGUGUAGGGGUGAAAUCCGUUGAUAUCGUGGGGAACACCAAAGGCGAAGGCAGUGCACUGGGACCUUCCUGACUCUGAGAUGCGAAAGCGUGGGGAGCAAAAAGGAUUAGAU